This is a long non-coding RNA of Fundulus heteroclitus (mummichog), 260 nucleotides long. RefSeq lists it as uncharacterized. The transcript is spliced from 3 exons. The record is from RefSeq and is a predicted model, not a curated record. Lineage: Eukaryota; Metazoa; Chordata; Actinopteri; Cyprinodontiformes; Fundulidae.
CGCCGAGGGUCAUGUGACACCAAAGCUGUCAGUGAUGUGGCUAAAACGAGCGUCAGCUGGCAGGAGCAGAAAAGAUACACUUCCACAGGUCAAGCGGAUCAGCCUGUGGUUAAUGAGCCGCUUCAGAGGAAGACGUCAUCAGCCUCAUCGACAGGAGCUCGCCGGCCAACACAUGGCAGUCGAUUCUUUCAGAGAACCCGGAACAGACUGAGAAGCCACUGUGCCAUUCAGUUAAAUGCUAUCACUUCAGUUUUGGUAAG